RNAcentral lists this ribosomal RNA (458 nucleotides) under uncultured bacterium. Its description in RNAcentral is "bacterial SSU rRNA". It matches the Rfam family "Bacterial small subunit ribosomal RNA", at positions 328 to 803 of the family's 1533-position model. The record is from RNAcentral.
GAAUUCAACUCCUACGGGAGGCAGCAGUGGGGAAUUUUGGACAAUGGGGGCAACCCUGAUGCAGCAACGCCGCGUGAGUGAAGAAGUAUUUCGGUAUGUAAAGCUCUAUCAGCAGGAAAGAAAAUGACGGUACCUGACUAAGAAGCCCCGGCUAACUACGUGCCAGCAGCCGCGGUAAUACGUAGGGGGCAAGCGUUAUCCGGAUUUACUGGGUGUAAAGGGAGCGUAGACGGUUUUGCAAGUCUGAAGUGAAAGCCCGGGGCUUAACCCCGGGACUGCUUUGGAAACUGUAGGACUAGAGUGCAGGAGAGGUAAGUGGAAUUCCUAGUGUAGCGGUGAAAUGCGUAGAUAUUAGGAGGAACACCAGUGGCGAAGGCGGCUUACUGGACUGUAACUGACGUUGAGGCUCGAAAGCGUGGGGAGCAUACAGGAUUAGAAACCCCAGUAGUCCAGGCGUU